Molecule: ribosomal RNA, 253 nt
Filed under: uncultured bacterium
Lineage: Bacteria
Description: partial 16S ribosomal RNA
Rfam family: Bacterial small subunit ribosomal RNA
Source: RNAcentral
UACGUAGGGACCUAGCGUUGUCCGGAAUUAUUGGGCGUAAAGCGCGUGUAGGCGGCUUGCCAAGUCCGGUGUGAAAUGUCGGGGCUCAACCCCGGAACUGCACUGGAAACUGGCUAGCUAGAGUCCGGAAGAGGGGACUGGAAUUCCUGGUGUAGCGGUGAAAUGCGCAGAUAUCAGGAAGAACACCCGUGGCGAAGGCGGGUCCCUGGGACGGUACUGACGCUGAGACGCGAAAGCGUGGGGAGCAAACAGG